AACGGUCUAUACCUGCGGUACCUGCGGAGGGAUCAUUACCGAGUUAUCAACUCCCAAACCCCUGUGAACAUACCCGAACGUUGCCUCGGCGGGACCGCCCCGGCGCCCCUAGCGGCCCGGAACCAGGCGCCCGCCGGAGGACCCGAACUCUUGCUUUAAACAGUGGCAUACUCUCUGAGUCUCACAAACAAAAAAUAAAUCAAAACUUUCAACAACGGAUCUCUAGAUCGGAAGAGCACA
This 240-nucleotide unclassified non-coding RNA is filed under the name soil metagenome. RNAcentral's name for it is "partial contains 5.8S ribosomal RNA, internal transcribed spacer 2, and large subunit ribosomal RNA". The record is from RNAcentral.